UGGCUGUAGCUACAUGAAUUCAAUUUGAGAGGUUAACUGGGCGGUUGUCGUUCUGUUGUCUACAUAUAUCUGCUUACCGAACUUCUUACAUUU
Nicotiana attenuata is the source of this 93-nucleotide non-coding RNA. Lineage: Eukaryota; Viridiplantae; Streptophyta; Magnoliopsida; Solanales; Solanaceae. The record is from Rfam.